UAAUAAUUCAACGAUUGAUAUAAUAAAAGAGAACAAUUUCAAAUUGCCUUGGACGACAUUUUGUAUAUUGAACGUCGACAAACUGAAGAAUAUGAAGUAUGAUAUAUCUAUGAAAAUCGAACCUCUUAUCGUAUUAUUCGUUUCUAAUCAUAUCUCGGCUAUGUUCUUUCGAGAAAUUUUAUUCGAAUUGAUCGGUGGAAUAUUAUUCAAGAUCUUACGCUAUCUCUUGAAUCUGGAGGAAAAAAAAAGAAAGUAAAAGUUUCAAAGAUUAUUUUCUCUACAUUCUAAUAAUUUUAUGGGAACGGUUAAAACCUGCUUAGAAAUAUACAUAUAUUCGCCUAGAAAUACAUAUAUAACUAUAAUACAAAUAUACAGGUGGUACACGAGCGUGCUUAUAUGUACACAUAUAUAUUGUGAUAUUUUUCUAUACCUAUACACAACGCACAAGGUGUAUCGAUAUAAAGGAUGGUUUAAUCAAUGUCCAAGGUUAAGCGGCACAAUUAUUAACGCACACUCGUUACGAUAUAGUCGUUACGCUCAAGUGUGUUCGUGUCAAUGCGAUCUUUUCUCUCUCUCUCUCUCUCUCUCUCUCUCUCUUUCUCUCUUCCCCUCUUUUUCUCUUGGUGUGGACGCGUUUUGUGACGCACACUCGUUACAUAACGAUAUAGUGGCGCGAUCCAAGCGUGCAAACGAGACUUACGUUACCCUACUCCUCAUCAUUGUAGUCGUCGUUUGUCGUCUUAAUCGUUCAAGUCUUCGUUUGCACAAAUAUACACGUCCCUGCUUUUUCAAUAAUGUACAUAUGCAGAUAUAUAUAUACACAUAUAUGAAUGUAUAUAAUGUAAAUAAGUAGGUACGUGUCGCAUUAUCAAUGAUCACAUGAAGUUUAAAUUAGCAUUGUGAAUGAAAAAAUAAGAACAAUUUUGUUUUAUGAACGUUCGAGGUAAGUACGAUUUCCGUUAACUUUUAGUCGAAGAAAAAGAGAAGACUAAAAAAUUGCUGACACAGUGAAACGUGAAAAAGAAAAAAAAGAGAGAGAGAGAGAGAGAGAGAGAGAGCGGCAUUGCAUAUUUGCAUGUAUGUACGAGGAAUGCAAAAGACUGUAUAUUAGUUUAGCGGGAUUCUCAUUUCCCGCGUAGGUAGCCCUCGAUUCUUUACGUCGCUUGGAUGCCAGUGAAGAGAAAGUAUUUUUCGGAUGUCCAGUUCCGUUGCACGAUCAUAAGAAUUAUCCUAAUACGAGCGUUGAACAGGUAUGCGAGAUGGGUCUUUAACGAGGAGUACCUUAUUUGCUUUAAAUUUUGAUGGGGUAUAUAAAGCCGUUAUGGUAGAUCGCAUGAUUCACGCCUUUGAAAUCGAUGUAAGACGUUUUCAAAGGCUCAUUGCUAUCCUAUUCAAGGAUAGUACCCAUAAUAACGGUCAUUUCGAUGAUUUGAUCGUGUGUUUGAGUAGUCACGAUUUCGAUUAUUAUAGAGCCCAGGCUUCUGUAUACAAGACACGGAUCAUGAAUUAUCUUAGAAAUAAAAUUAAACUUAGAAAAUUUUUUUUUUCCUGAUAUUUUAUAUUCUGCGAUAUAAUUAACUAUACCAGUAUUAAUAAUAAAAUUAUAUUACGAUUUCAUCAUAAAAAUAUUCAUAUUAAAUUAUCUAUAAUUUAAUGUAACUUCGAAGACGUAUGCUUGUAUACGUUUACUUCUUAGAUUUUCUUUGGUUUUUUUGAUACAAACUUCAUUAUUAAUCCAUAUCCGAAUGUUAAUAUUUACUAGAUAUAAGUUAUAUUUACAAUUGGUAUAAUAUUGCGUUGGCAAAUAUUAUACCACUGUGUUUGUUAUUUACUUAGAUAUAAAAUACUAAAUAAAUUUCUAUUUUGUAUUGUUCAUUUACAUGUA
Long non-coding RNA from Vespa crabro (European hornet), 1885 nucleotides. RefSeq lists it as uncharacterized. The transcript has 2 exons. NCBI's taxonomy places the organism in Eukaryota, Metazoa, Arthropoda, Insecta, Hymenoptera, Vespidae. The record is from RefSeq and is a predicted model, not a curated record.